GGCCCUCUGGCGGAACUGGAAGACGCACCGGAUUCAAAACCCGGUGCCCAUUCGGGCGUGCGGGUUCGACUCCCGCGGGGGCUACCG
Molecule: transfer RNA, 87 nt
Filed under: Mycobacterium dioxanotrophicus
Lineage: Bacteria; Bacillati; Actinomycetota; Actinomycetes; Mycobacteriales; Mycobacteriaceae
Description: tRNA-Leu
Rfam family: tRNA
About the family: Transfer RNA (tRNA) molecules are approximately 80 nucleotides in length.
Source: RNAcentral